This 449-nucleotide ribosomal RNA is filed under the name uncultured bacterium. Its description in RNAcentral is "partial 16S ribosomal RNA". It matches the Rfam family "Bacterial small subunit ribosomal RNA", at positions 354 to 796 of the family's 1533-position model. The record is from RNAcentral.
GUAGGGAAUCUUCCGCAAUGGACGCAAGUCUGACGGAGCAACGCCGCGUGAGUGAUGAAGGUUUUCGGAUCGUAAAACUCUGUUGCGAGGGAAGAAACCGUGCCAACUAACUAUUGGCACCUUGACGGUACCUCGCCAGAAAGCCACGGCUAACUACGUGCCAGCAGCCGCGGUAAUACGUAGGUGGCAAGCGUUGUCCGGAAUUAUUGGGCGUAAAGCGCGCGCAGGCGGUCCCUUAAGUCUGAUGUGAAAGCCCACGGCUCAACCGUGGAGGGUCAUUGGAAACUGGGGGACUUGAGUGCAGAAGAGGAAAGUGGAAUUCCAUGUGUAGCGGUGAAAUGCGUAGAGAUGUGGAGGAACACCAGUGGCGAAGGCGACUUUCUGGUCUGUAACUGACGCUGAGGCGCGAAAGCGUGGGGAGCAAACAGGAUUAGAUACCCGGGUAGUCC